GAUGAACGCUGGCGGCGUGCCUAAUACAUGCAAGUCGAGCGAACAGACGAGGAGCUUGCUCCACUGACGUUAGCGGCGGAAGGGUGAGUAACACGUGGAUAACCUACCUAUAAGACUGGGAUAACUUCGUGAAACCGGAGCUAAUACCGGAUAAUAUAUUGAACCGCAGGGUUCAAUAGUGCAAGAGGGUUUUGCUGUCACUUAUAGAUGGAUCCGCGCGGCAUUAGCUAGUUGGUAAGGUAACGGCUUACCAAGGCAACGAUGCGUAGCCGACCUGAGAGGGUGAUCGGCCACACUGGAACUGAGACACGGUCCAGACUCCUACGGGAGGCAGCAGUAGGGAAUCUUCCACAAUGGGCGAAAGCCUGACGGAGCAACGCCGCGUGAGUGAUGAAGGUCUUCGGAUCGUAAACCUCUGUUAUUAGGGAAGAACAAAUGUGUAAGUAACUAUGCACGUCUUGACGGUACCUAAUCAGAAAGCCCCGGCUAACUACGUG
Molecule: ribosomal RNA, 497 nt
Filed under: uncultured bacterium
Lineage: Bacteria
Description: partial 16S ribosomal RNA
Rfam family: Bacterial small subunit ribosomal RNA
Source: RNAcentral